UCUUCUUUCCUUUCUUUCUUAGCCGCGUAUCUUAUUCCUUCGUUUGUUUCUCAGGUCUCUUCAGUUUCUCUCAAAGAUAUACAGUGAGAGCAUCUCUAUAACAACUUCCCUAUAUAACAACACCUUACUAUAAAAGUCAAACUUUUUUGGAACCAAUUUUUAAAUUAUGUUAUAAUAUAUGCUCUAUAUAACAACACUUUGCUAUAACAUCCAAAAAUAUUCAGAACAAACGAUGUUAUUAUAGAGAGGUUUGACUGUACUCCAUUUGUUUGCUCCUUUCUUUAAUUCUCUUCGCGUACAAAUCUUGCUGCAGGUGCCAAUUUGAAGUCACGCUCACAGAUUAGAGCGGUUCUACAACAUCAACUAUUUCCAACGAGCAUGCAGAAAAAAUAUUACUUCUCACUUCGAAAGAGAUUUAUGAUAACUGUAAUGUCAAGAAAGAACUGUUGCCUCUUAUGAACGCGCAAAAGCUACUGACGGGCAAGAUCUUCAAGAUUCAAAUAAAAAAGUUGUUUACAAGAAACAAUGAGGCACUGCCAGGAAAGUUAGUUAUUUUGUCUUUCAUGAACAAAAGUAAUUUGGUUAUCUCACAAAUGCCAGCCACCAUCAAAGACGUUGCAGAAGGAAGUAAACAAAAAAUUGAACAUGUUGCCACAGAGAAAUAACAGCACCCACACACAACAAGCAAAGGCAAUGGUUCCUACAACAAAUGUAAGACGGAAAUGAAAAUUUCUCCUCCGAAAAACUGCUGAGAGCAAUAUUUUGACAAGAGAAAUUGAGGUUUCAGCUAAGGGUCUUUGUCGCUCAUCGAGAUAUUUUUGGCCAAGAACUACUAGAAAAAGGACAAGAAAGAAGACCAAAGACUGCAUAUGUAAAUAAUUUGUAUACGAUAAAAAUCGGGUAGGCCCGAUUUUAUUAUUUGAUCGAGGCUAAGGAAUUGUAUCGGUCGGCCUCGCAACCGAGCAGAACAAGGUACGAGGACAAGGCACCGAAUUUCUAGGACCGAGGAACUUAUCGAAGAUCGAGGCCAGUAGCGAUCGAGACCAAAGGGGACAAACAUCGAGCAAAGCACAAUAACAGAAAGGUGAGAUAUCCAUGACUGGCCGAAGAUCAUGGCAUAAAUCUAGGAACAGAACAAAAAGGGUGGUUAUUUAGUUAAUCAUGGGAUUUACUUCCGUAAUUAGAAUUGUAUCAUAAAUAAGAUUCCUCUACUAUAUAAAAAGUGUCCUAAUCAUCUUGUAACCAUCUUACAUACACACAUAUCAAAGCAAUACAUACUUUCUAGCUUA
Nicotiana tabacum (common tobacco) is the source of this 1289-nucleotide non-coding RNA. The record is from RefSeq and is a predicted model, not a curated record. NCBI's taxonomy places the organism in Eukaryota, Viridiplantae, Streptophyta, Magnoliopsida, Solanales, Solanaceae.